CCCUCCCAGCCCCCAGCCCGGAGCCCCGCGGCUGCGGCGCGGGCCGAGUCUCCAAGUUACCAAGUUACCGCAGGAUUCGGGAGCUUCUCACUGGCGCGGCCGCGGCCAAUCAGAGAGCAGCGCCGCUGUUCUCGGGCAGGAGGCCUGGAGACACGCGCACCUUCCCCCGACACCCAGCGAAGCGCGCUGACAUACAAUCACAGCGGCGCGCACACACACACACACACCGUCCCAGAGACAAGCAGCGUCGCCCACCGCACAUACACAAUCACAAUGACACACACAGCGACAGACACACAGGUCCCAGGAACACGCAGACACACAGCAUCACAGAGACACACAAAAUAUCAGUGACAGCCGGGCACGGUGGCUCAGGCCUGGCACGGUGGCUCAGGCCUGUAAUCCCAGCAUUUUGGGAGGUCGAGGCGGGUAGAUCACUUGAGGUCGGGAGUUUGGGACCAGCCUAACCAAUGUGGUGAAGCUCCGUCUCUAGUGUGGUGGCAUGCACCUGUAGUCCCAGCUACUUGGGAGGCUGAGGCAGGAGAAUCGCUUGAGCCCAGGAGGUGGAGGUUGCAAUGAGCCAAGGUCGCUGCCACUGCACUCCAGCCUGGACAACAAGAGCAAAACUCCGUCUCAAAAAACAAAACAAAACAAAACAAAAAAACAACUUAGUGACACAGACAGUCCCAGGACACAUAGCACUCCCCAGACCCACAACCACAGGCACACACAGUGCUGCCCAGGCACAUGCAAUCUCCAUGAGGUAUGCACAGUCCCUUGAACACACAACAUCACCCUGACACACACAGUAUCAGUGACAUACAAUCAAUACAGUGACACUCAUCCCACAACCAAUUGGUCCCAACACACUCACUAGAUCACAGUGAUACAAUCGCAACAGUGACACAUUCAAGCACAGUGAGAGACAAUAUUGCAUACACGCAAUCUAUUAGACACACAGUUCCAUGGACACACAACAUCACCCUGACAAACACAACCACAAUGACACACAACCACAGUAACACACAGCAUUGCACAUGCACAUACUGUCGGUGAUACACAGUCCCACAGAUAUGCAUUUCAGACACAGUCAUAAUGUCACACACACACACACAAUCCCACCGUGCACCGCAUUGUCCAGGCACACACAAUAACAGUAGUAUGUAUGCACAUCUUCCCCCGACACCCAGCACAGCACAUGGGCAUACACUAUCACAGUGAUACAUACACAGUCCCAACACCCACAACACAAGUACCACUGACACACUCAGUGACACACACAAUCCCAUAUACACACAGCAUUGUAUACACGUACACACCAUCACCAUGACAUACACACACAACCCCAGUGACACCCAGCAUUACACAAACACAUCCAACCAUGACAACAGAACAGUACAGUGACAUAGCACCUUCACAGAUCUUCCCCCAACACAACAUCACUCUGACACAUAUACGAUCCCAGCGUCAGGACACAAUCACAUGGGCACACACAUCUCACUGCCAGACCAGCAUGCUGCACAGAACCACACACAUCACACCAUCAUGAUCACACACAGCACACCAGAACAUCACACAAUUGUACACUGACACACAAUCACAUUGUCACAGCAGCCCAUGACAUGUAGCAUUGUGACAAAUGUAGCAUGCUGACACACACCAUCACACUGACACACAAUCCAUCAAGUGACACACAGUAGCACACACUGACACAACCCCACCGUAAUGUGUGAACCCCCUGACACAACAGCACACUGACACAAAUCCACAGAGGACUCCAGCACACACACACAUAGUCACACAAACACCCAACCCCCGCACCCCUGCCCUUGCCCCAGGAAGCUGUGUUAGAUGUGGGACGGUGGGGGAGGGAUGCGCUGUGUGUGUGUGUGUGUGUGUGUGUGUGUGUGUUUGUGUGUGCGCCAGCGCAGGCUGUGCCUCCCCCUCCCAGCCCUUCCCCGGGGGCGGGGCCGUGCGGCAGCCGCUGUUACCGGGUAAACUUCCCCGCCCCCCCCAGCGCGGCCAUUAGUCAACCCCCCCCAGGAUGAUGUCAUCGCCUCAUUCUGGAGGCUGAGUAAUCCUCAACUCCGCCCCGCCAGGCUGCGAAAUCUGCUUGCCCAGAAUGGCAGACAAGAUCUUGGAGACGAGACGGUUUUAGGUCUGCAGUCAACCAGCUCUAUUUUGUCUCACCAGCACUUCACAUCCGGCUUACUACCUCCGGGCACUAUUCUAAGUAUGUUACAAAUACGAACUCAUUUUAUCUUCACAAUAUUUUUGGUCCUGCCUGUGCAGAUCCCUUUUGGACAGUGAGGGAAACUGAGGCACAGAGCGGAGAAGCUGCUUGCUCAAGGUCAUCAUUUGAACCCAUGUCGGAGUUAUCGUUCCUCUGUGCUGUGCGCCCGUGGGAGAGGCAUUAACACUCAAAAUACGAAACUGCACAGAGUCAAGAAAACGCACUCGUGGACGGCCUGCGGACCACUAGUUUGAGACCCCAGCCUCAACAUGAGCAUCUGUGCAAAUAGACACGAACUGUCCUCCUCCCAGAAGUAGACCUGGGCAUCCUGACCCCAUGAACACAGGGACUUGCUGUCUCUCCCCAAACUGGAUUCAGGCAUCAUGGCUUUUGAACACAGGGCUGAUGAUCCUUCCCAGAAGAGAAUGCAGGCAUCUUGGCCCCAUAAAAAUAGGGGUCCUGGGCCGGGCUCAGUAGCUCACGGCCUGUAAUCCCAGAACUUUGGGAGGCCUAGGCCGGUGGAUCACCUGGGGUCAGGAGUUCAAGACCAGCCUGGCCAACAUGGCUAAACCCUGUCUCUAUUAAAAAUACAAAAAUUAGCCGGGCGUGGUGGUGCACACCUGUAGUCCCAGCUACUCAGGAGGCUGAGGGAGGAGAAUCGCUUGAACCUGGGAGGCAUAGGUUGCAGUGAGCCAAGAUCGCACCACUGCACUCAAGCAUGGGUGACAGGGCAAGCAAGACUCCAUCUCAAAAAAAAAAAAAAAGUAAAAAAAAAAAAAAUUAGCCAGGCAUGGUGGCACAUGCCUGUAGUCCCAGCUACUCGGGAGGCUGAGGCAGGAGAAUCGCUUGAACUGGGAGGAGGCUGAGGCAGGAGAAUCGCUUGAACUGGAAGGAGGCUGAGGCAGGAGAAUUGGGAGGCAUAGGUCGCAGUAAGCUGAGAUCAUGCCACUCUGCACUCCAGCCUGGGUGACAGAGUGAGACUGCGUCUCAAAAAAAAAAAAAAAAAAUAGGGGUCCAGGCCGGGUCCAGUGGUUCAUGCCUGUAAUCCCAGUACUUUGGGAGGCUGAGGUGGGAGGAUCAUUUGAGCCCAGGAGUUUAAGACCAGCCUGGGCAAAAUGGUGAAACCUCAUUUUUACUAAAAAUACAAAAAUUAGCUGGGCGUGGUGGCACAGGCCUGUAGUCCCAGCUAAUCAGGAGGCUGAGGCAGGAGGAUCACCAGAGCCUGGGAAGCGGAGGUUGCAGUGAGCCAAGAUCACACCGCUGCAUUCAAGCGUGGGUGAUAGAGUGAGACCCUGUUCUCAUAAAAGAGGCGGAGGGGUCCUUAGCUAGAGGUUUCCUUGCUUGGAUUCUCAGAGAGUCAACGGACUCCCACACUGGUAAUAGUAAUGACAAGUAACAUAUAUUAAACAUCCAUCAUGCCCCAGUACUUUUAUUGUUUAAUUUUUUUUUGUUUAUUUAUUUAUAAAACAGGGUCUUUUUAUUUUAUUUAUUUAUUUUUUUGAGACAGAGUCUCGCUCUGUCGCCCAGGCUGGAGUGCAGUGAUGGGAUCACAGCUGUCUGUGGUCUUGUCCUCCUGGGCUCCAGCCAUUCUCCUUCCUCAGCCUCCCAAGUAACUGGGUCCACAGGUGCACACCACCACGCCUGAUUAUUUUUUAAAUUUUUUGUAGAGACAGGGGUCUCACUAUGUUGCCUAGGUUGGUCUGGAACUCCUGGGCUCAAGCAAUCCUCCUGCCUCAGUUUCUCAGAAUGCUGGGAUUACAGGCAUGAGCCACUGUGUGCCUAGCCCAAUGUUUUAUUGUUAUUCACAUUCUGACUGCACAUCCUAUGAGGUAGGGACCUGUGCUGUCUCAACUCACAGAUGAGGAAACUGAGGCACAGAGCUGUGACCACUUCCCCAACAUCACCCACAGGUGGCAGAGGGGAUUCUAAGUCAGGCCAUCUGGACUCACAGCCCACAGUCUUUCAUGAGGGCUGCAUGCGGGCUUAGGAAACCAAGGCAGGCGAAUGGGUUCAGGCCAGGAGUUGGAAACAUGCCUGGGUAGGCAACACAGUGAGACCUCAUCUCUACAGAAAAUUUAAAAAUUAGCCAGGUGUGGUGGUGUGCACCUGUAGUCCCAGCUACUCGGGAAACUGAGGUGGGAGAAUUGCUUGAGCCUAGGAGGUGGAAGCUGCAGUGAGCUGUGAUCAUCAGCUGUGAUCAUGCCACUGCACUCCAGCCUGGGCAACAGAGCAAGACCCUGUCAAAAAAAAAAAAAAAAAAAGAGGCAGCCCUUGACCCACCCACAAACUUCUUUUUCUUUGCCCACAAGGGUUUUGUGUUGUUGUUGUUUUGGGGGUGGGGGUCGGUUUUUUAUUUUUGAGGCGGAGUCUUGCUCUGUUGCCCAGGCUGCAGUGCAGUAGCGCGAUCUCGGCUCACUACAACCUCCGCCUCCCGGGUUCAAUCGAUUCUUCUGCCUCAGCCUCCAGAGUAGCUGGGAUUACAGGCAUGUGCCACCACACCCAGCUAAUUUUUGUAUUUUUAGUAGAGACGAGGCUUUGCCAUGUUGGCCAGGCUGGUGUUUUGUUUUGCUUUUGAGAAAGGGUCUCGCUCUGUCGCCCAAGCUGGAGUGCAAUGGUGCGAUCACAGCCUACUGCAGCCUCGACCUCACAGGCUCAAGCGUUCCUCCCACCCCAGCCUCCCCAGUUAGGUUUCCGCAUGUUGCCCAGGCUGGUCUGGAACUCCUGGGCUCAGGUGAUCCACCCAUCUCGGCCUUCCGUGAUACUGGGAUUACAGACGUGAGCCACCACGCCCAGCUGUGGGGAGGAUUUUGACUAGUGAUAACGCUUAUGGCCAAAUAGACUCUUGGCCUCUCCCCAUCUUUUCUACCUCCAGCCACCAAGCCAGAUUCCCACUAUCCUUCACACUCAUUUUCUUCUCAAAAGAACAUUAUAGGCCGGUGUGGUGGCUCACACCUGUAAUCCCAGCAUUUUGGGAGGUCAAGGAGGAACGAUUGCUUGAGGUCUGGAAUUUGAGACCAGCCUGGGCAACAUAGUGAGACCCUGUCUCUACAAACAAACAAACAAAUAAAGAACAUUCCGGGGCUGGGCAUGGUGCCUCAUGACCAUAAUCCAGGCACUUUGGGAGGCCAAGGAGGGAGGAUCACUUGAGCCCAGGAGUUUGAGACCAACCUGGGCAACAUAAUGAGACCCCAUCUUUACUAAAAAAAGAAAAGAAAAGAAAAAAGAAGGAGAAGAAGGAGGAGGAGGAGGAGGAGGAAGAAGAAAAAAGAAGAAGGAGGAGGAGGAGGAGAAGAAGAGAACAUUCCAGGCUGGGCAUAGUGGCUCAUACCUGUAAUUCCAGCACUUUGGGAGGCUGAGGCAGGUGGAUCACCUGAGAUCAGUAGUUCGAAACCAGCCUGGUCAACAUGGUGAAACCCCGUCUCUACUAAAAAUACAAAAAAAAUUAGCCAGGCGUGGUGGUAGGUGCCUGUAAUCCCAGCUACUCAGGAGGCUGAGGCAGGAGAAUCACUUGAACGCAGGAGGUGGUGGUUGCAUUGAGCAGACAUUGGGCCACCACAUUCCAUCCUGGGUGACAGAGCGAGACUCCGUCUUAAAAAAAAAAAAAAAAAGAACAUUCCAGUACAUCUGGCCUCCGAGUAUCUACCCUGCAAUGGGCAGUCUGGACAUUGAUCAGUGAGUGAGAGGUGUGAGGUACAGGUGGGACCAUGAGCUAGCAGAGGGCUAGAGACUGCCCCUCUCUCAACUUCAUCAGUGUCAAGCAACAGGAAAUACUGACAAUAAUUAGUUAUACAAGUGAUAAUAGCUAACACUUAUUAGGCACUUACUAUAUGUCCAAUACUGCACUAAAUGACUUCCAGUGUGAUCUCAUUUAAUAAGUGUCUAAAGCAGCAUUUCUCAAACGUCUUUGAACUCGAUCUAUGGCCAGAAAAAUACCUUCCUUGUAACCUAAUAUGUAUUCACUAUACAUCAAUAAAAUUUCCACAAAAUAUUACUUUCCGUUGACUUCAUAAUUUUUUAAAAUUAUAUUUUGUUUUGUUUUUUUAAGAGGGAGUCUGGCUCAGCACCCAGGCUGGAGUGCAGUGGUGCAAUCUCGGCUCACUGCAACCACCGUCUCCCGGGUUCAAGUGAUUCUCCCAUCUCAGCCUCCUGAGUAGCU
Molecule: long non-coding RNA, 6389 nt
Filed under: Homo sapiens (human)
Lineage: Eukaryota; Metazoa; Chordata; Mammalia; Primates; Hominidae
Description: HSALNT0260948
Source: RNAcentral